UCGAGCAAUCGCAUUCAUUUGGAAUAUUAGCAUAAAGCAAUCAGAAAUACACCAUGUUCUAUAGCACAAUUGCUGCAGAAGCAUAAUUACAAGUUUAAGUACAUAUCCUUCUUUUUAUAAAAAAGAGGUGAAAAGGGCAUAGUUACAGUAAGUGAACUCUGCACUUUGUGAAAGAAUAAUGAACCAGAGCAGGAAAUGACAGGGGCGGACAAGUGUUGCGCGCCAAAUAUAUGAUGACACGCAAUGUAUCUGUUAAAUACGAAAUAAGUUGCUUACAAUUUAAGGACAACGAACUGAAUAUAUUGCAUUAGCAAAACAGAGCACGGUAGUGUAAUGUGUGUACUGUACUUGUAAGAUCAGUCACUAAUCUGAUUCUAAUCUGCUAGGAGUUUUGGCUACAACAUCAUAUUGUAAGGUAAAAAGAGAGCUCUAAAGACGUUGUACAAUCAGCCUUAAACAAUCUCCCUUAGCACUGAAAUCGGAAACACACACACCAACUUGUUUGAUCUUGGUUUUUCUUAUUUGGUCUUGAUGGCUGCUAAUUGUUCUUGCCCAUCAUAAGCCGAUUAUUCUUCAUUUUACUGCAUUGACAUCUCAUUGGCAGUUUUAUCAACUGAUCGUUUUGUAAACCUUGGUCCUUGCUCAUGAACUGAUUUGACCUAUUUUAGAGUUAACAAUAUAAAUAUUUUAAAUGGGGAUGAUAAAUUGGUGAAGGUAAAGUAUUUUAUUUAUUUGAUAACAGACAAUUAUAUUGAGCAGCAGACCAUCGCAAACCAUUAUACUAAGUAUCAUAAAACCCCUUCUCUUAAAGUUUUAUUAAGAAUACUAUUAGCCAAGAAGCAUCUGGUCAUGAAAUGCAAAUUAGCAACAAGUGCUUAUCAUAAGGACAACAGAAGAAGCAUACACAAAGAAAGAAAAAACAGCUCCAUGCUUCUGAAAUUUGACAAAAUAGGUUGGCUUUUCUAGUUCUCGUAAGUUCACAAGAGAGAACAAAAAUAUAUGUAAUCAAACGGAUCAUCACUUCAAUAUAUCUGGGAAGUGAACUUUCAAAAAAAAAACUGGGAAGUUCAUUCUUACCCGUCUUGAGAAAUGUUAGAUUAAUGUUCACUAUAUUAGGAGAAAAACCUGCAAUGCAUAAUCUCAAUUAUAUCAGUAUGGCUCUUGUUUAUUAUCAAGUAAUUUACAUAAUCUAUCCAACUAAAUGUUCAUUUCUGUGACAUUGUAAGAUUAGCAGGGAUAGUUAUUGAUAAAUUUUACAAAAACUAAGAGACAUAAUUAGGUUUAUAAUAUGAAAAGUGAAAAAAAAAUCUUAUCUCUUUCUGAAAGAAUAAAUUAAAAAAGAUGAGCCAGCAAAAGAUAUUGAUUUUGCUUUACAACUUGAACACCACAAAAGGGAACAUCUUACAGAAGUUUGUAAACCACCUAAAAAUGCUUGUUGUUGUACUGCUCUCAUAAAAACACUUCAUGUCUGCAUUUACAUGUUUAACUUUAGAAGAUCAGUGUAAAAGGAACAUUAUAAAAUCAAAAUGCACUAUGCAUCACCACAGCAGGAGGAUGCCUGCAGCCCAACAACAUUUAUGUUAUUUGCUUGGUCAUAUAUGUCAUAAGUUAACUGUGCAAAACUUUAUAGUCGAAUCUGGUCCAUCUUAGAACCCACAUGACCAGUUGAAAAUGUGCGGUAAUGAUACACUUACCUCAAGCAUUCAACACCAACAGGUAGCAUCACCUAGCCCUUUGUCCUAAAUUUUAGCUAAGUUGAAGUCCCGCAAUGACCAGGUUUAUCAUUGGUGCCUCCCACUAAGUGUUACACAAAUUGAAUUUGUAAAUAUCUAGAAAUUAUAAGCUCAAGAUUGAUUUUUUUGGCUAACAAUACACUGAUAUUAUGGCACCUAUUUAUUUAUUUUGUCAAAAGUAGCAGUUUCCCUUAUCGGAGUUACACCGUAUCAUGGGCAACCUAAAGGCAAGGAUGU
This 1970-nucleotide long non-coding RNA is filed under the name Triticum aestivum (bread wheat). Its description in RNAcentral is "long non-coding RNA (TAES_LNC024433)". The record is from RNAcentral. Lineage: Eukaryota; Viridiplantae; Streptophyta; Magnoliopsida; Poales; Poaceae.